Molecule: long non-coding RNA, 433 nt
Organism: Nanorana parkeri
Lineage: Eukaryota; Metazoa; Chordata; Amphibia; Anura; Dicroglossidae
Exons: 3
Source: RefSeq, a predicted model, not a curated record
GCUGCAGUCCGUCCUAGAGGAAUAUCACUCCCUGCUGGAGAAAGCGGAGCAGCGCAGGGGUCAGCUGCAGGAACAAUAUCAGCUUUUCCAGUAUUUGCAGGAAGCAGGUCUGGUAGAGGCCUGGCUGGUCAGCAAGAAGACCAUUGCUGAAUCUGAAGAGUUUGGUCAAGAUCUAGAAGGCAUUAGGGUCUUGGAAAAAGAGUUUGAAAACUUUGUUAAGGAAGUAGAGACGCUGGGUAAGAGUAAAGUUCUGUCCCUGCAUGAAUUGACAUCAGGACUGCUGAAAGAAAACCACAGUCAGACAGAACAGAUCAAGAAGAAGGCAGAGGAUGUGAACGGCACCUGGGAUGUAUUGUGCCGUGCAAUACAGAACAGAGCUAAGACUUUGACAAAAGCUCACCAGGUCCAUCAGUUUGAUCACGAUGUUAAUGAA